GACGGAGGGUGCAAGCGUUGCUCGGAAUCACUGGGCGUAAAGGGUGCGUAGGCGGCCUGGUAAGUCUGGCGUGAAAGCCCAGGGCUCAGCCCUGGAAGUGCGCUAGAAACUGCGAGGCUCGAGUGCCGGAGGGGAGAGUGGAAUUCCUGGUGUAGCGGUGAAAUGCGCAGAUAUCAGGAGGAACACCUAUUGCGAAGGCAGCUCGCUGGGACGUUACUGACGCUGAGACGCGAAAGCGUGGGGAGCAAACAGG
This 253-nucleotide ribosomal RNA is filed under the name uncultured bacterium. Its description in RNAcentral is "partial 16S ribosomal RNA". It matches the Rfam family "Bacterial small subunit ribosomal RNA", at positions 524 to 776 of the family's 1533-position model. The record is from RNAcentral.